RNAcentral lists this ribosomal RNA (406 nucleotides) under uncultured bacterium. RNAcentral describes it as "partial 16S ribosomal RNA". It matches the Rfam family "Bacterial small subunit ribosomal RNA", at positions 30 to 526 of the family's 1533-position model. The record is from RNAcentral.
AUUGAACGCUGGCGGCAUGCUUUACACAUGCAAGUCGAACGAGUGGCGAACGGUUGAGUAAUAUAUCGGAACGUACCGAUUAAUGGGGGAUAACCCAUAGAAAGAUUGGCUAAUACCGCAUAUUAUUCGAGCGGCCGGUACCUGAUUAGCUCGUUGGUGGGGUAAAGGCCUACCAAGGCGACGAUAAGUAGCGGGUCUGAGAGGAAGAUCCGCCACACGGGGACUGAGACACGGCCCAGACCCCUACGGGAGGCAGCAGUGGGGAAUUUUGGACAAUGGGGGCAACCCUGAUCCAGCCAUGCCGCGUGUAUGAAGAAGGCCUUCGGGUUGUAAAGUACUUUUGUUAGGGAAGCGGUACCUAAAGAAUAAGCACCGGCUAACUACGUGCCAGCAGCCGCGGUAAUUC